RNAcentral lists this ribosomal RNA (270 nucleotides) under uncultured archaeon. RNAcentral describes it as "partial 16S ribosomal RNA". It matches the Rfam family "Archaeal small subunit ribosomal RNA", at positions 477 to 747 of the family's 1478-position model. The record is from RNAcentral.
CUGCAGCCCGAAUGGUGAUCGAUUUUAUUGAGCCUAAAGCGUCCGUAGCCGGACUAGUAAACCCUUGGGUAAAUUGGGCAGCUUAACUGUCCAAAUUCCGAGGGGACUGCUAGUCUUGGGACCGGGAGAGGUCAGAGGUACUCAAGGGGUAGGGGCUAAAUCCUGUAAUCCUUUGGGGACCACCAGUGGCGAAGGCGUCUGACUAGAACGGAUCCGACGGUAAGGGACGAAACCCUGGGGCGCGAACCGGAUUAGAUACCCGAGUAGUCC